Molecule: non-coding RNA, 188 nt
Organism: Podarcis lilfordi (Lilford's wall lizard)
Lineage: Eukaryota; Metazoa; Chordata; Lepidosauria; Squamata; Lacertidae
Source: the annotation of a GenBank genome assembly
UCCUGAUGUUUAAUCAAAAUCUCCUUUCUUGUAACUUGAAUCCAUCGUUUCGAGUCCUACCCUCCAGAGCUGGACAAAAUAAGAUUGUUCCCUCUUCCAUGUAACAGCCCUUAAGAUAUUUGAAGAUGGCUAUCAUAUCUCCUUCCAGUCUCCUAUUUUCCAGGCUAAACAUACCCAUCUCCUUCAAC